UACAGAGGUCCCGAGCGUUGUUCGGAUUCAUUGGGCGUAAAGGGUGCGUAGGCGGCGGGGCAAGUCUGAUGUGAAAUCCCGGGGCUCAACCCCGGAACUGCAUUGGAUACUGCCUUGCUUGAGUACUGGAGAGGAGACUGGAAUUUACGGUGUAGCAGUGAAAUGCGUAGAUAUCUGGAGGAAUACCGGUGGCGAAGGCGGCAUCCUGGACCGACAUUGACGCUGAGAACCGAAAGCUAGGGGAGCAAACGGG
This 253-nucleotide ribosomal RNA is filed under the name uncultured bacterium. Its description in RNAcentral is "partial 16S ribosomal RNA". It matches the Rfam family "Bacterial small subunit ribosomal RNA", at positions 524 to 776 of the family's 1533-position model. The record is from RNAcentral.